AACGCACAUUGCGCCCUCUGGUAUUCCGGAGGGCAUGCCUGUUCGAGCGUCAUUAUCACCCCUCAAGCCCGGCUUGCUGUUGGACCACGCGACUCACCCUCGCCGGUUCCAAAGAUAAUGACGGCGUCCGUGGGAGACUCCAGUACACUGAGCUUUCGGGCAACGUACUUGGCUUAGGACUCACGCGACCCGGUCUUUUUAUAACCAUUAUUUUAUAACAAGGUUGACCUCGGAUCAGGUAGGAAUACCCGCUGAACUUAA
This 261-nucleotide unclassified non-coding RNA is filed under the name uncultured fungus. RNAcentral describes it as "partial contains 5.8S ribosomal RNA, internal transcribed spacer 2, and large subunit ribosomal RNA". The stretch from base 1 to 52 matches the Rfam family "5.8S ribosomal RNA", at positions 103 to 154 of the family's 154-position model. Lineage: Eukaryota; Fungi. The record is from RNAcentral.